GAUGAACGCUGGCGGCGUGCCUAAUACAUGCAAGUCGAGCGAACGGACGAGAAGCUUGCUUCUCUGAUGUUAGCGGCGGACGGGUGAGUAACACGUGGAUAACCUACCUAUAAGACUGGGAUAACUUCGGGAAACCGGAGCUAAUACCGGAUAAUAUUUUGAACCGCAUGGUUCAAAAGUGAAAGACGGUCUUGUUGUCACUUAUAGAUGGAUCCGCGCUGCAUUAGCUAGUUGGUAAGGUAACGGCUUACCAAGGCAACGAUGCAUAGCCGACCUGAGAGGGUGAUCGGCCACACUGGAACUGAGACACGGUCCAGACUCCUACGGGAGGCAGCAGUAGGGAAUCUUCCGCAAUGGGCGAAAGCCUGACGGAGCAACGCCGCGUGAGUGAUGAAGGUCUUCGGAUCGUAAAACUCUGUUAUUAGGGAAGAACAUAUGUGUAAGUAACUGUGCACAUCUUGACGGUACCUAAUCAGAAAGCCACGGCUAACUACGUGCCAGCAGCCGCGGUAAUACGUAGGUGGCAAGCGUUAUCCGGAAUUAUUGGGCGUAAGCGCGCGUAGGCGGUUUUUUAAGUCUGAUGUGAAAGCCCACGGCUCAACCGUGGAGGGUCAUUGGAAACUGGAAAACUUGAGUGCAGAAGAGGAAAGUGGAAUUCCAUGUGUAGCGGUGAAAUGCGCAGAGAUAUGGAGGAACACCAGUGGCGAAGGCGACUUUCUGGUCUGUAACUGACGCUGAUGUGCGAAAGCGUGGGGAUCAAACAGGAUUAGAUACCCUGGUAGUCCACGCCGUAAACGAUGAGUGCUAAGUGUUAGGGGGUUUCCGCCCCUUAGUGCUGCAGCUAACGCAUUAAGCACUCCGCCUGGGGAGUACGACCGCAAGGUUGAAACUCAAAGGAAUUGACGGGGACCCGCACAAGCGGUGGAGCAUGUGGUUUAAUUCGAAGCAACGCGAAGAACCUUACCGAAUCUUGACAUCCUUUGACAACUCUAGAGAUAGAGCCUUCCCCUUCGGGGGACAAAGUGACAGGUGGUGCAUGGUUGUCGUCAGCUCGUGUCGUGAGAUGUUGGGUUAAGUCCCGCAACGAGCGCAACCCUUAAGCUUAGUUGCCAUCAUUAAGUUGGGCACUCUAAGUUGACUGCCGGUGACAAACCGGAGGAAGGUGGGGAUGACGUCAAAUCAUCAUGCCCCUUAUGAUUUGGGCUACACACGUGCUACAAUGGACAAUACAAAGGGCAGCGAAACCGCGAGGUCAAGCAAAUCCCAUAAAGUUGUUCUCAGUUCGGAUUGUAGUCUGCAACUCGACUACAUGAAGCUGGAAUCGCUAGUAAUCGUAGAUCAGCAUGCUACGGUGAAUACGUUCCCGGGUCU
RNAcentral lists this ribosomal RNA (1371 nucleotides) under uncultured bacterium. Its description in RNAcentral is "bacterial SSU rRNA". It matches the Rfam family "Bacterial small subunit ribosomal RNA", at positions 28 to 1381 of the family's 1533-position model. The record is from RNAcentral.